Molecule: small RNA, 177 nt
Filed under: Flaviramulus basaltis
Lineage: Bacteria; Pseudomonadati; Bacteroidota; Flavobacteriia; Flavobacteriales; Flavobacteriaceae
Description: Flavo-1 RNA
Rfam family: Flavo-1 RNA
Source: Rfam by way of RNAcentral
UGCUUGCGUUAGCGAUUAUAGAGGAAAUCCUUUUUAAAACUCUUCGUCAUUGCGAAACAUUUAUAAAAUGUUGUGGUAAUCUGUUUAAUAAGAUUACCACCUCGCUUUGCUUCUCGUAAUGACGAUAAAUGAGAAUAAUUAGUUUUAAAAAGAUUGGAACGGAAAGCGCGACCCUUG